UACAGAGGGUGCGAGCGUUAAUCGGAGUUACUGGGCGUAAAGGGCGCGUAGGCGGUAAGAUGUGUGUGAUGUGAAAGCCCCGGGCUUAAACCUGGGAAGUGCAUCGCAAACUAUCUAACUGGAGUAUAUGAGAGGGUGGCGGAAUUUCCGGUGUAGCGGUGAAAUGCGUAGAGAUCGGAAGGAACGUCAAUGGCGAAGGCAGCCACCUGGCAUAAAUACUGACGCUGAGGCGCGAAAAGCGUGGGGAGCGAACAGG
This 256-nucleotide ribosomal RNA is filed under the name uncultured bacterium. RNAcentral describes it as "partial 16S ribosomal RNA". It matches the Rfam family "Bacterial small subunit ribosomal RNA", at positions 524 to 776 of the family's 1533-position model. The record is from RNAcentral.